AUGCCUCGCACCCAAUCUUCUCCGGCGAGAUCCGUCGAUCAUCGGGGUCAGAGCUUGGUGCUGCUGUUGCACUGGUGGCUCUGGACGCGCAUCUCCAUGACGGCGACCUCGAGCCUGCACUCGGAGUAUGCCACGGCGCGGCGCCUGAACACGCCGAACAGCAGCACCGUGCCGGGGACGGUGGUGGCGGAUUCCAGCGGCAUCGCCCGGCUCUCCACGUCCUCGGCCAGCUGCCUCGCGCCCCCGGCGGCGGCGAACCGGUCCGCCUCCAGCGUGAGCGCGACCCGGACCUCCGCGUCCCCGCGGCUCGGGACGGCGCCCGGGUCGAUCUCGGCGUCCCCGACGUGGGCGCCGCGGUAG
Molecule: ribosomal RNA, 360 nt
Filed under: Triticum aestivum (bread wheat)
Lineage: Eukaryota; Viridiplantae; Streptophyta; Magnoliopsida; Poales; Poaceae
Description: partial small subunit ribosomal RNA
Source: RNAcentral